This 218-nucleotide unclassified non-coding RNA is filed under the name soil metagenome. RNAcentral describes it as "partial contains 5.8S ribosomal RNA, internal transcribed spacer 2, and large subunit ribosomal RNA". The record is from RNAcentral.
AACCAUAGAAACCUGCGGAGUACCUGCGGAGGGAUCAUUACAGAGUUCAUGCCCUCACGGGUAGAUCUUCCACCCUUGAAUACUAUACCUUUGUUGCUUUGGCGGGCCGCUUUGGCUACUGGCUCUGGCUAGUAAGUGCCCGCCAAAGAACCCCAAAACUCUGAAUAUUAGUGUCGUCUGAGUACUAUAUAAUAGUUAAAACUUUUAACAAUGGAUCU